This 1301-nucleotide long non-coding RNA is filed under the name Homo sapiens (human). Its description in RNAcentral is "HSALNT0187771". Lineage: Eukaryota; Metazoa; Chordata; Mammalia; Primates; Hominidae. The record is from RNAcentral.
CAUCUGAAGAAGUGCAGAGCCUUAAACCAGAGUGACUACUUAAUUAAAUCAGUUGCUACAGUUGGUUAAAUUGAAUAGCUAUCUUCAGACUCUGAAAACUCAUAAUUCUUGAAGCUCCUGUCCAGCAGCCUUAGGAGGUUCAAGGAAUUUGAUUUGCCAAGAAUUAUGUGCCCCAUGAAACCACAGGAGCAAAUUCUGCAGAACAGAUGACAAGGGAUAGAGUAUUGCUUCUGAAGAGCUCAGACCCUUAAUGAGUUCAAGCUCUGCCUUCUUGUCGCUAAUUCCACCUUAGCUUGUCAGAAGAGAUUUGGCUGCUGGAAGAAUAUAACUGUGUUUCCACUGGAACUCUUAGGUGAUCAGCCCAGCUGAAUGAUGGGGUGAAGAUGGAGGCAAGGAAGGGAAUUCUCUCUGUGGACUGCAUCAGGAAGCCUGCCCAUGAGCUUCUCAGGAUACCUCAUCCUUGGACCUCCUCCCCCUAGCUGACCCAUGGACACCCCAAACACUCUCUGUGCUUCAUCCCCCCAUAGGACAGCUCUCUGAGCAAGCCGUUAUGGAUGACAAGUACAAGUGUCUCAUGCUGGCAGCUGGCUCAACUCUGCAGAAUUGGAAGAAGGCACAGAAUCUUGAGUAUUUUAGGGAACUGCUCCCGGAGAAGACAAACAGGAGGUUCUCAGCACCUGGCCUGGCUUUGCAGAACUGAGAGAAUACAAUCUUAAGAAUUCCCUGUAAGAGUAAAGAAGAGGUGUGGCAUGAGUGCUUUUAUUGUAAUAGGUAUGAAUAUUUAAGAAAACAAUAGCUGAAAACUCCCCAGAAAACUCCCCAGAUCUGGAGAGAGAUAUGAACAUCCAGAUUCAUUAAACUCAAAGAUCUUCAUACAGGUUCAACUCAAAGGAAGCUACAGGGAGACAUAUUAUAAUCACACUGACAAAAGCAAACAUAAAAAUAUAAUUUUGAAAGCAGCAAGAGAAAAGAGGUUUGUCACCUACAAGGGAAACUCCCUGAGGCUAUCAACAGAUUUCUCAGCAGAAACCUUGCAAAAAAUGGGGGAGAAGGAUACUAUAGUCAAAGUUCUGAAAUAAAAAAAACCUCUCAACCAAGAAUAUUUUGCUUGGCAAAGCUGACCUGCAGAUAUGAAAGUACGAUAAAGGCUUUCCAAGACAAAGUUGAGGGAGUUCAUCACCACUAGAUCUGCCUUCCAACAAAUGCCAAAGGGAGUUCUUCAAUAUGAAAUCAAAGGACACCUAUUAGUAAAAUGAAAACAUAUAAAAGUCUAAAACUCACCAAUAAAGGUAAUUACCCCA